This 803-nucleotide ribosomal RNA is filed under the name uncultured marine eukaryote. RNAcentral describes it as "SSU rRNA". It matches the Rfam family "Eukaryotic small subunit ribosomal RNA", at positions 64 to 870 of the family's 1831-position model. The record is from RNAcentral.
UACAAGCCUCACUAAGGUGAAACCGCGAAUGGCUCAUUAAAUCACACCUAAUCUACUGGAUAGUAAAAAGUUACUUGGAUAACUGCGGUAAUUCUGGAGCUAAUACAUGCACAAAGCCGCGACUCACGAAGCGGCGCUUUUAUUAGAUCAAAACCAAACGGCUUCGGCUGUACUCAUGGUGACUCUGAAUAACUUUGGGCUGAUCGCAUAGCCUUGAGCUGGCGACAUAUCCUUCGAAGGUGUGCCCUAUCAACUUUCGACUGUGGCAUAGACGCCCACAGUGGUUUUGACGGGUAACGGGGAAUCAGGGUUCGAUUCCGGAGAGGGAGCCUUAAAAACGGCUACCACAUCUAAGGAAGGCAGCAGGCACGCAAAUUACCCAAUGACCGAAGGUCGAGGUAGUGACGAAAAAUAACGAUAGAGGACUCAUCCGAGGCCCUCUAAUUGGAAUGAGUACACUUUAAAACCGUCCCCGAGGAUCUAUUGGAGGGCAAGUCUGGUGCCAGCAGCCGCGGUAAUUCCAGCUCCAAUAGCGUAUAUUAAAGUUGUUGUGGUUAAAAAGCUCGUAGUUGGAUCUCAACAGCCUUGAAGCGGUUAACUUUGUAGUUUUACUGCUUUAUAGGCUGUGCUUUUGCUGGAGGUUUAGGGGUGCUCUUGAUCGAGUGUCUCUGGAUGCCAGCAGGUUUACUUUGAAAAAAUUAGAGUGCUCAAAGCAGGCUAAAAUGCCUGAAUAUUCGUGCAUGGAAUAAUAGAAUAGGAUGUCGAUCCUAUUUUGUUGGUUUUCGGGACUCGACAUAAUGAUA